RNAcentral lists this long non-coding RNA (474 nucleotides) under Lynx canadensis (Canada lynx). Its description in RNAcentral is "lncRNA (ENSLCNG00005001038.1)". The record is from RNAcentral. Lineage: Eukaryota; Metazoa; Chordata; Mammalia; Carnivora; Felidae.
GACGCCCCAGCCGCCGAAGCAGGGGUGAUCAUGUGACUCGCGGGGGCGGGGCUGCGCCGGCCGCUUCCCAGCCCGGCUGAAAGGGCUCGCGUAGCCGGCCCUGUCGGCCCUUACAGCGGUCAGUGGGCGGCCUGGCCCCAGCUCCCCUCCCGAGCCGCGCAAAGGGAGCUGCUCCUGGCUCUCGUCCGCCCCCCAGGUUUGCUUUCCUUCCCUUCCCGAAGGUGGGCCCCGAGGUCCUCCGCCGCGGAGGCUGCGGCCGCCGGGAAGCCCAGAGCCGAGUGUCCGGAGACUAACCGGAAGUGCGGUCCCAGGCGGAGGGGCGGUGCCGGCGGCUGCCGGGAGCUGGUUGGGAAGGACCUGAAUGGCCGCCAGCAGCAGGUGCCUCUUGGAGGAGAAACAAAAUGUAAGCAAGUGUGGGAAGAGGAGAGGGCAGAAUUGCGUGCUGUGAAUACUUAUGGACCAGAGACCUUUUGA